This 927-nucleotide ribosomal RNA is filed under the name Microbacterium paraoxydans. RNAcentral's name for it is "bacterial SSU rRNA". It matches the Rfam family "Bacterial small subunit ribosomal RNA", at positions 42 to 977 of the family's 1533-position model. Lineage: Bacteria; Bacillati; Actinomycetota; Actinomycetes; Micrococcales; Microbacteriaceae. The record is from RNAcentral.
GCGUGCUUAACACAUGCAAGUCGAACGGUGAACACGGAGCUUGCUCUGUGGGAUCAGUGGCGAACGGGUGAGUAACACGUGAGCAACCUGCCCCUGACUCUGGGAUAAGCGCUGGAAACGGCGUCUAAUACUGGAUAUGUGACGUGACCGCAUGGUCUGCGUUUGGAAAGAUUUUUCGGUUGGGGAGGGGCUCGCGGCCUAUCAGCUUGUUGGUGAGGUAAUGGCUCACCAAGGCGUCGACGGGUAGCCGGCCUGAGAGGGUGACCGGCCACACUGGGACUGAGACACGGCCCAGACUCCUACGGGAGGCAGCAGUGGGGAAUAUUGCACAAUGGGCGAAAGCCUGAUGCAGCAACGCCGCGUGAGGGAUGACGGCCUUCGGGUUGUAAACCUCUUUUAGCAGGGAAGAAGCGAAAGUGACGGUACCUGCAGAAAAAGCGCCGGCUAACUACGUGCCAGCAGCCGCGGUAAUACGUAGGGCGCAAGCGUUAUCCGGAAUUAUUGGGCGUAAAGAGCUCGUAGGCGGUUUGUCGCGUCUGCUGUGAAAUCCCGAGGCUCAACCUCGGGCCUGCAGUGGGUACGGGCAGACUAGAGUGCGGUAGGGGAGAUUGGAAUUCCUGGUGUAGCGGUGGAAUGCGCAGAUAUCAGGAGGAACACCGAUGGCGAAGGCAGAUCUCUGGGCCGUAACUGACGCUGAGGAGCGAAAGGGUGGGGAGCAAACAGGCUUAGAUACCCUGGUAGUCCACCCCGUAAACGUUGGGAACUAGUUGUGGGGUCCAUUCCACGGAUUCCGUGACGCAGCUAACGCAUUAAGUUCCCCGCCUGGGGAGUACGGCCGCAAGGCUAAAACUCAAAGGAAUUGACGGGGACCCGCACAAGCGGCGGAGCAUGCGGAUUAAUUCGAUGCAACGCGAAGAACCUUACCAA